GUGCUAGGCUCGGCAGCACACACACUAAAAUCGGAAUGAUAAAGAGAAGACUAGCAUGUGCCCCCUUGCCCAAGGAUGGCAUACAAAGUCAUAAAGCAUUCAGUGUUAUU
Mastomys coucha (southern multimammate mouse) is the source of this 110-nucleotide small nuclear RNA. NCBI's taxonomy places the organism in Eukaryota, Metazoa, Chordata, Mammalia, Rodentia, Muridae. The record is from RefSeq and is a predicted model, not a curated record.